Long non-coding RNA from Coturnix japonica (Japanese quail), 1753 nucleotides. The record is from Ensembl. NCBI's taxonomy places the organism in Eukaryota, Metazoa, Chordata, Aves, Galliformes, Phasianidae.
AUGGCCCCAAAUGGACCCCAAAGUGACCCCAAUAUGGUGGCUAUAGACGACACAUCAUUGUGGGGUGAAAACAAGCAGUUUUGGGGCUGUCUAUGGGGUGGAGACAUUGAAACAUUGGGAUAUGGGGUUAUGGGGGUCAUUGGGAUCAAUGGGAUCAAUGGGGUCAAUGGGAUCUUUAAUGGGGUCAAUGGGGUCAAUGGGGUCAAUGGGGUCUAUGGGGUCAAUGGGAUCAAUAGGGUCAAUGGGAUCAAUAGGGUCAAUGGGGUCAAUAGGAUCAAUAGGGUCAAUGGGGUCUAUAGGGUCUAUGGGGUCUAUGGGAUCAAUGGGGUCAAUAGGGUCAAUAGGGUCAAUGGGGUCAAUGGGGUCAUUGGGGUCAAUGGGAUCAAUGGGGUCAAUGGGGUCAAUAGGGUCACUGGGGUCUAUAGGGUCAAUAGGGUCAAUGGGGUCAAUGGGGUCAAUGGGGUCUAUAGGGUCAAUGUGGGGGGUCCAUCAUGGCGCCCCCCCCUCGGGGUGGGCGGCCAUCAGCAGUGGGAGGAGCAACGGUGUAGCGCCGUCACCGGAACCGGAAGUAACAUCGGAACCGGAAGCAACACCGGAACCGGAAGUAACACCGGAAGUGGAACCGGAACCGGAAGUGGUACCGGAACCGGAAGCGGCGCCAUCUCGGUCCGGGCGCAGCACUCGGUUAUGGAGGCGGCUGUAACGGCGGGCACAGAGACUGCGGGGGGACAGGGGUGGGACAGACCAGUAUGAACCGGUAUAAACCGGUAUAAACCAGUAUGAACCAGUAUGAACCGGUACAGACCGGUAUGAACCAGUAUGAACCAGUAUGAACCAGUAUGAACCAGUACAGACCAGUAUGGACCAGUAUGAACCAGUAUGAACCAGUACAGACCAGUAUGAACCAGUACGAACCAGUACAGACCAGUAUGGACCAGUAUGAACCAGUAUAAACCAGUACAGACCAGUAUGAACCAGUAUGAACCGGUUUAAACCAGUAUGAACCAGUAUAAACCAGUAUGAACCGGUACGACCCAGUAUGAACCGGUACAGACCAGUAUGGACCAGUAUGAACUGGUACAAACCAGUAUAAACCACUACAAACCAGUACUAACCAGUAUGAACCAGUUCGGACCAGUACAGACCAGUAUUAACCAGUAUGGACCAGUAUGGAACAGUAUGAACCACUACAAACCAGUACUAACCAGUAUGAACCAGUUCGGACCAGUACGAACCAGUACAGACCAGUAUGAAUCAGUAUAAACCAGUAUGAACCAGUACGGACCAGUAUAAACCAGUAUGAACCAGUACACACCAGUCUCUCCUUGUCCAUCCCAUCCCAUUCCAUACCCCAUAUCCCAUUACCCCCCAUUACACCCCAUUACACCCCAUUACACACCAAUAUGGCCGCCGCUCAUAGAGAGACCCCAUUGGGACCCAUAGAGACCCAUAGAGACCCAUAGGGACCCAUAGCGACCCAUAGGGACCCAUAGCGAUCCAUAGAGACCCAUAGAGACACAUAGGGACCCAUAGAGACCCAUAGCGACCCAUAGAGACACAUAGGGACCCAUAGAGACCCAUAGAGACCCAUAGAGACCCAUAGAGACCCAUAGCAACCCAUAGAGACCCAUAGAGAACCAUAGAGACCCAUAGGGACCCAUAGGGACCCAUAGAGACCCAUAUCCCAUCCCAUAUCCCAUCCCAUAUCCCAUAUCCCAUACCCCAUUACCCCCCAUUACCCCCCAUCUCACCC